This 456-nucleotide ribosomal RNA is filed under the name uncultured organism. Its description in RNAcentral is "bacterial SSU rRNA". It matches the Rfam family "Bacterial small subunit ribosomal RNA", at positions 28 to 507 of the family's 1533-position model. The record is from RNAcentral.
GACGAACGCUGGCGGCGUGCCUAACACAUGCAAGUCGAACGAAGUAUAUUUAUAUACUUAGUGGCGGACGGGUGAGUAACGCGUGAGCAAUCUGCCCUAUACAGAGGAAUAGCCUCGGGAAACCGGGAUUAAAACCGCAUAACACUUAAGUACCGCAUGGUAAAUAAGUCAAAUUGAUUAAGAGGUAUAGGAUGAGCUCGCGUCUGAUUAGCUAGUUGGUGGGGUAAAGGCCUACCAAGGCGACGAUCAGUAGCCGGCCUGAGAGGGUGAACGGCCACACUGGAACUGAGACACGGUCCAGACUCCUACGGGAGGCAGCAGUGGGGAAUAUUGCACAAUGGAGGGAACUCUGAUGCAGCGACGCCGCGUGAGUGAAGAAGGUCUUCGGAUCGUAAAACUCUGUCCUUGGUGAAGAUAAUGACGGUAGCCAAGGAGGAAGCCCCGGCUAACUACGUG